Molecule: long non-coding RNA, 261 nt
Filed under: Capsella rubella
Lineage: Eukaryota; Viridiplantae; Streptophyta; Magnoliopsida; Brassicales; Brassicaceae
Description: long non-coding RNA (CRUB_LNC005008)
Source: RNAcentral
AAAAAAGCUAAAUUCACUUAGUAGGCCAAUAUUUAAAAUAAAUAUUCUUUUGAGCGUAAUAGGACUCAGAUCUAAAAAGAUUAAGCGCUACCAAAGCUAAAAAAAAAUAUACAUCUCUCAAAAUGAUAAAACAAAAAACAUAUCUCCAAAAAAAUGAAAAAAGCUCGUCGCCAGUCUUAUCGAUUCCUCCUUCAAAGCCACUGUUUUGGCUCGUCGUCGGUCUUAUUUUGUGUGCAUUCAGUGACUAUCCUUCUGUCUCAG